RNAcentral lists this ribosomal RNA (732 nucleotides) under Escherichia coli. RNAcentral describes it as "partial 16S ribosomal RNA". It matches the Rfam family "Bacterial small subunit ribosomal RNA", at positions 58 to 779 of the family's 1533-position model. RNAcentral also lists the same sequence under 2 other names. Lineage: Bacteria; Pseudomonadati; Pseudomonadota; Gammaproteobacteria; Enterobacterales; Enterobacteriaceae. The record is from RNAcentral.
CAAGUCGAACGGUAACAGGAAGCAGCUUGCUGUUUCGCUGACGAGUGGCGGACGGGUGAGUAAUGUCUGGGAAACUGCCUGAUGGAGGGGGAUAACUACUGGAAACGGUAGCUAAUACCGCAUAACGUCGCAAGACCAAAGAGGGGGACCUUCGGGCCUCUUGCCAUCGGAUGUGCCCAGAUGGGAUUAGCUAGUAGGUGGGGUAACGGCUCACCUAGGCGACGAUCCCUAGCUGGUCUGAGAGGAUGACCAGCCACACUGGAACUGAGACACGGUCCAGACUCCUACGGGAGGCAGCAGUGGGGAAUAUUGCACAAUGGGCGCAAGCCUGAUGCAGCCAUGCCGCGUGUAUGAAGAAGGCCUUCGGGUUGUAAAGUACUUUCAGCGGGGAGGAAGGGAGUAAAGUUAAUACCUUUGCUCAUUGACGUUACCCGCAGAAGAAGCACCGGCUAACUCCGUGCCAGCAGCCGCGGUAAUACGGAGGGUGCAAGCGUUAAUCGGAAUUACUGGGCGUAAAGCGCACGCAGGCGGUUUGUUAAGUCAGAUGUGAAAUCCCCGGGCUCAACCUGGGAACUGCAUCUGAUACUGGCAAGCUUGAGUCUCGUAGAGGGGGGUAGAAUUCCAGGUGUAGCGGUGAAAUGCGUAGAGAUCUGGAGGAAUACCGGUGGCGAAGGCGGCCCCCUGGACGAAGACUGACGCUCAGGUGCGAAAGCGUGGGGAGCAAACAGGAUU